Molecule: ribosomal RNA, 500 nt
Filed under: uncultured bacterium
Lineage: Bacteria
Description: partial 16S ribosomal RNA
Rfam family: Bacterial small subunit ribosomal RNA
Source: RNAcentral
AUUGAACGCUGGCGGCAGGCUUAACACAUGCAAGUCGAGCGGAGCGAGGGUGCUUGCACCUUAGCUUAGCGGCGGACGGGUGAGUAAUGCUUAGGAAUCUGCCUAUUAGUGGGGGACAACAUUCCGAAAGGAAUGCUAAUACCGCAUACGCCCUACGGGGGAAAGCAGGGGAUCUUCGGACCUUGCGCUAAUAGAUGAGCCUAAGUCGGAUUAGCUCGUUGGUGGGUAAAGGCCUACCAAGGCGACGAUCUGUAGCGGGUCUGAGUGGAUGAUCAGCCACACUGGGACUGAGACACGGCCCAGACUCCUACGGGAGGCAGCAGUGGGGAAUAUUGGACAAUGGGCGGAAGCCUGAUCCAGCCAUGCCGCGUGUGUGAAGAAGGCCUUUUGGUUGUAAAGCACUUUAAGCGAGGAGGAGGCUACUUAGAUUAAUACUCUGGGAUAGUGGACGUUACUCGCAGAAUAAGCACCGGCUAACUCUGUGCCAGCAGCCGCUGUAA